GUCGUGUUAGACUAUUUGCUAUCCAUGACAUAAUUAAUAUCCAUACUGAAAAAUAUUUCAUAAUUUUUGGGCAGUGUUUUAUAUGAUAUUUUCUGAAUUUAAUUUUCUCUGAAUUAUAGUUAUUAGGUGUUAAUCUUGAGUUAAUUAAAAAAAUAUUGACAGUCUCUAUUGUACCCAACUUAACCAUGUUUGUUCCUUUUGAAUGUUUAAUAUUUUUUUAAAAGAUGUUUGGAUAUUACUGAUUUUCAUAGGAUAAAUUACUAAAAGUCCUCUAAGGUCCGGCCUAAUUUACCAUUUAGUCCUUAAUGUU
This 310-nucleotide unclassified non-coding RNA is filed under the name Hevea brasiliensis (rubber tree). The record is from RNAcentral. Lineage: Eukaryota; Viridiplantae; Streptophyta; Magnoliopsida; Malpighiales; Euphorbiaceae.